GAAAUUUUUAAAUGGCCGCAGUAUUCUAACUGUGCAAAGGUAGCAUAAUCAUUAGUCUUUUAAUUGAAGGCUGGAAUGAAUGGUUGGACGAAAUAUUAACUGUUUCAUUUGAAUUUUUAUAGAAUUUUAUUUUUUAGUCAAAAAGCUAAAAUUUAUUUAAAAGACGAGAAGACCCUAUAAAUCUUUAUAUUUUGUUUAUUUUAAUUAUAAAGAUUAUUUUUAUUAUAAUAAAUUAAAAUAUUUUAUUGGGGUGAUAUUAAAAUUUAAAAAACUUUUAAUUUUUAAAACCAUUAAUUUAUGAAUAAUUGAUCCAUUAAUAAUGAUUAAAAAUUUAAGUUACUUUAGGGAUAACAGCGUAAUUUUUUUGGAGAGUUCAUAUCGAUAAAAAAGAUUGCGACCUCGAUGUUGGAUUAAGAUAUAAUUUU
Molecule: ribosomal RNA, 425 nt
Filed under: Scaptomyza undulata
Lineage: Eukaryota; Metazoa; Arthropoda; Insecta; Diptera; Drosophilidae
Description: partial 16S ribosomal RNA
Source: RNAcentral